RNAcentral lists this ribosomal RNA (301 nucleotides) under uncultured bacterium. RNAcentral's name for it is "partial 16S ribosomal RNA". It matches the Rfam family "Bacterial small subunit ribosomal RNA", at positions 509 to 809 of the family's 1533-position model. The record is from RNAcentral.
CAGUAGCCGCGGUAAUACGUAGGGUGCGAGCGUUAAUCGGAAUUACUGGGCGUAAAGCGCGCGUAGGUGGUUUGUUAAGUUGGAUGUGAAAUCCCCGGGCUCAACCUGGGAACUGCAUUCAAAACUGACUGACUAGAGUAUGGUAGAGGGUGGUGGAAUUUCCUGUGUAGCGGUGAAAUGCGUAGAUAUAGGAAGGAACACCAGUGGCGAAGGCGACCACCUGGACUAAUACUGACACUGAGGUGCGAAAGCGUGGGAAGCAAACAGGAUUAGAUACCCGCGUAGUCCCUGUCUCUUAUAA